UCUCUCUCUCUCACACAGGCGUACGUGCGGUGCGGGCCGCGGUGGUGAGCUGGGUGACGCAACUUCGGGCGCGCAGUACGUCACAAUCAGGCUAGGCAAGGUUACCAGUGCGGGGAGGAACAGCGGGGCGGGCAGGGCGCUGGGGUGUGUCACUGUGUCGCCCCAUCACACACACACACACACACACACACACACACACACACACACAAGGGCACCUGGUGUGUCUCCCUAAGUGGGUGUUGCCCGACGGGACUGUCAGCACUUUGCCCCUUGGGACUCCUCUAAGUUGCCAAGGCUGCCUGUUGCCAUGUGUGUGUGUGUGUGUGUGUGUGUGAGUGUGAGUGUGUGCAGCGGCCGAGGGAAGUGACCCAGGGGCUGCCCAGGCACUGUACGCCCCUGCCCCUGCCCCCAGCGGUGCCAACACGUGCACACCUGCCACCGACGUUUGAUGCCAAGUGAAGCUCAACUUGGGACUCUACAUGUGAAGUAUUUGACCUUUAAGUGGUGAUGGUGACAGUGAUGUGGUGGUGAGAUGCGAUGUGAUGGUGAGGUCAGGUGAUGGUGGUGGUAAUGGUGUGAUAGUGGUGUUGGUGGUGGUGGUGGUGCAAGGGACGCGUGGAGCACCUGGUGACGUAAUGGCCCCGAGACACCUGCGUAAGGCCUUCAGGUGCGCCAGGGCGGACUCAACCAGAAGACUUGUACCUUGGGGUCGUUCAACCUCGGGAAGGAGUUGGAUACCUUACAGAAGAAUUAUUGUAAACUGAAAAGGAAUGCCGGAGAAGAGUAUACAUUAGGAAGAAAGGUUACAGGAAAGGGUGAUCAUGUACCAGGACGACUCCAAGCUGCCAGCUGACAAUAAACAGAUCUCGGUGUCAAGACUACGAACGGUGGAGGCAGGACGAGAGACGGUGGGUGAGUGGAGCGCCUACAGUGGUCAUGUGCUGCCUCCCGCUGUGUGCACCGUCCGGGGCGUCACUGUUUCCGAGGCUGCCAAGGAAGGAACAGAACCUCGUGAGAUGAUUAGAAAAGACAAGCA
This is a long non-coding RNA of Portunus trituberculatus (swimming crab), 1036 nucleotides long. RefSeq lists it as uncharacterized. The record is from RefSeq and is a predicted model, not a curated record. Lineage: Eukaryota; Metazoa; Arthropoda; Malacostraca; Decapoda; Portunidae. The transcript has 4 exons.